RNAcentral lists this ribosomal RNA (216 nucleotides) under Glomeromycotina sp. Its description in RNAcentral is "partial small subunit ribosomal RNA". The stretch from base 44 to 216 matches the Rfam family "Eukaryotic small subunit ribosomal RNA", at positions 690 to 864 of the family's 1831-position model. The record is from RNAcentral. Lineage: Eukaryota; Fungi; Glomeromycota.
GGGUCAGUAGGUUGGUCGUGCCACCGGUACGUACUGGUCACACUGAUUCCUCCUUCCUGAAGAACCGUAGUGCCAUUAAUUUGGUGUUGCGGGGAAACAGGACUGUUACUUUGAAAAAAUUAGAGUGUUUAAAGCAAGCUAACGCUUGAAUACAUUAGCAUGGAAUAAUGAAGUAGGACGAUCGAUCCUAUUUUGUUGGUUUCUAGGAUUGACGUA